Molecule: ribosomal RNA, 207 nt
Filed under: uncultured bacterium
Lineage: Bacteria
Also listed under: 1 other name
Description: partial 16S ribosomal RNA
Rfam family: Bacterial small subunit ribosomal RNA
Source: RNAcentral
CAUGCAGGCGGUUAUACAAGUAGGAUGUGAAAGCCUGGGGCUCAACCUCAGAACUGCAUUCUAAACUGUGUGACUAGAGUAUUGCAGGGGGAGACGGAAUUUCAGGUGUAGCGGUGGAAUGCGUAGAUAUCUGAAAGAACACCAAAGGCGAAGGCAGUCUCCUGGGCAAAUACUGACGCUCAUAUGCGAAAGCGUGGGUAGCAAACA